This 87-nucleotide transfer RNA is filed under the name Planctomycetes bacterium ADurb.Bin069. RNAcentral describes it as "tRNA-Leu". It matches the Rfam family "tRNA". Rfam says of the family: Transfer RNA (tRNA) molecules are approximately 80 nucleotides in length. Lineage: Bacteria; Pseudomonadati; Planctomycetota. The record is from RNAcentral. RNAcentral also lists the same sequence under 1 other name.
GCCCAGGUGGCGGAACUGGCAGACGCGCAAGGUUGAGGGCCUUGUACCCGUAAGGGCGUGGGGGUUCGACUCCCCCCCUGGGCACCA